RNAcentral lists this ribosomal RNA (253 nucleotides) under uncultured bacterium. RNAcentral's name for it is "partial 16S ribosomal RNA". It matches the Rfam family "Bacterial small subunit ribosomal RNA", at positions 524 to 776 of the family's 1533-position model. The record is from RNAcentral.
GACGAAGGGGGCUAGCGUUGUUCGGAAUUACUGGGCGUAAAGCGAGUGUAGGUGGUUGUCCAAGUUGGAUGUGAAAGCCUUGAGCUCAACUCAAGAAAUGCAUUCAGGACUGGAUGACUAGAGGACCGGAGAGGAUAGUGGAAUUCCCAGUGUAGUGGUGAAAUACGUAGAGAUUGGGAAGAACACCAGUGGCGAAGGCGGUUAUCUGGACGGUUUCUGACACUAAGACUCGAAAGCGUGGGGAGCAAACAGG